Long non-coding RNA from Humulus lupulus (European hop), 10851 nucleotides. RefSeq lists it as uncharacterized. NCBI's taxonomy places the organism in Eukaryota, Viridiplantae, Streptophyta, Magnoliopsida, Rosales, Cannabaceae. The record is from RefSeq and is a predicted model, not a curated record. The transcript is spliced from 5 exons.
CUUUCCUUCUUUCAAAUCAAUUUUUGAGUUUCCUGUAAGCUACCAUCAAGUAUUAUAAAAAUAUUAUUUUGGGGGAAGUACUCAAAACAAAAGUUAAAAAACUUAGAGAUUUGUUUAGUCACAAGAAGUAAUGAAGUAAAAAAUAAUAAUAAAAGAAUAAAAGUUACAUAUGCUUUGAAAUAUUCUAAAUUGGAGUCUGUAAACUCUGUAAAAAUAAUUUUUAGCAUUUUGCAAGUGGCGAGAUUUUAAUUUUAUUUUAAAAAAAAGACUAAAUGACCCAUACAAGAGAAAAAUAACACAUUCAUUGCUCUUUCUCCAAUGACCCAUACAUCUUUAGCCACCAAAGUUUCGAUUAGACUGAUAGAGUGAUAAUAGAGAUGCAGCUUAUACAAGCCGUUUCUUUUUAUAAAUAGCAAAGCAAGAGACAUACCAAUUAAGAAUCACAAUGACAGUGUUCUUACAUGUAUAUCCCUACAUUUAAAUAUUCUUCUCAGACAACAGAAUGAUAAGUUAGAGAGAUGGCUACUCUCAACGUUUUCGAUCUGUAUUAGGCUUAGGAGGAAGAAGAAGAUCCCCUGGUUCGACGGAAAACAUCCAGGAGGCACAAUGGCGAAUCAAGCCAAGGACCCCCGGCCAAGAAAGGUCGAAUAGAUGAUCCUUCCAAGGGCGUGCCUACUAGACAAGCUUCUGCCCAGCCUUCUGCUCCUGCUGAGAAGGAGGCUGCCCCUGCUGCCAACCCUCCGCCUGCGGCCCGAAGGGAGCACACCCCGCAAGCAGAGCUUCCUGGGACCAAGCUCUCGAACCGCUCCCUGCGAUCAGCUAAAGAUCGCCUUGCUCAUAUCUUAAAGCACGACCGUUGCAGGGAGGCAAUGGCUGAAGCUGAGAGUAUGGGAGUUGACCAGAUCCUCAACAGGGCUCUUAACGAAGUAGCCAGUGUAAGUAUUUUUCCUCUUAGAUUUUGCUUCUCCUUUUUGUAGCAUAGUCUAACUUUUAUUUCGUUGACUGCAAGCCAUGCUGACAAUAACUGCCGCUCGCACCCGUGCCUUGGCUACCAUCGAACAGGCUCGGGCAAAGGCCAUCGAGGAGUUCCAGGUGAAAGCCAUCGAGGAGCUUCAGGCUGUAGAAGCCAGGCACGCUGGGGAGUUGGAGGUGGUCACCCAGCAGAAGGAUGCUAUGGUGGCAAAGCUGGCGGAGGCUGAAGCUUCUCAGGCAGCUUUAAAGAAGCAGAAGGAUGACUUCCAGGAGUCCAAUCGAAUCCAAUAUCAUGAAGUCAAGAGGCUUAAGGAGGAGCUCCUUGCUAAGGACAAGACCAUAUUUGUUUUUGAGAGCCAGGUGGAGCAGCUGAAGCUUACCAAUGCUAAAGAUCUGGAGACGUACAAGAAUGCGACACUUCGCUGUUUCUACGACUUUUGGAAACACAACUGGGGUGCCAACUUUAAUUACCUUCCAAAGGAUGCUAGGAACGCUGAGUUGGCUCGCUGCACUGCUCAAUUGGCUGUAGAAGAAGAAAGAGCAAGGGUCCCUGCUUCCCCAAGCAUCCAGCCGACCGUUGACGCAGAGGAAGGAGGAGUUGUUGAGGAUGCAGCCAACCAGACUGCUGAGCAAGACCCUCCUGCUCCUUAUAUUUCUCUUUUUAUUUUUCUUCAAUUACACGACCCACGGGUCGUGAUGUAAAGACUAAAUUUUUAUUUUUAAAUUUGCUGCACGGGCAGCAAACUUUCCCUUUUAUUUUAAACAAUUGCAUCCAAGCAGUGAUGCUUGCGGUGUAAAAGAAUGCCUUAUGAUAUUAUAAUAUUUCCAUCUAUUAUAACAUCUGUUCGCAUGACCGAACUUAGCAUAGUACUUUGGCUUGAUUUAGAAAAAUAUAAAUUUUGAAAAAUACUCUAAGUACCUUAGCAUGCUUUCACUCAUUUUGUUCAUAUGUUUACAUACCUCUUGGAAUGCUUUGUUAUCGAUGUACCUUAUAUGCCCCCCAAGUGAUCGAGGAGCUUUAGGUCCUUGGUCACUUGCCUUGACCACGACCUGUGCGAACAUUAUUGCUCGAUAGGAAACGUAGUACUUAUAGUACAGCAAAACAACACACAUAAUGAACAAAUACUUGUAAAAAUAAAUUUAUAAAGGUUGGCAAGAAUGACUAGCUGCGCACAGUCCCUUAUAAUCUCGUAUUAAAAAUGGACUAAACAUGUCUUUACGAGUGAUCUUAAAAAGAUCUUACACUUAUAAGCGAUUAGCCAUACAACGUGGCUAACUCUUUUUCGAAACUUGUAAAAAGUAAAAAUUAAUACAAGCCAGUUCUUUAAAAAGGAUUGUUUAUUGGUAGUACUUGCGCAGGUGUUCACCGUUCCAAUAGCGUGGAACGAGAUCUCCAUUCAAGCGUGCAAGUUUGUAGGUGCCCGGAUGAAGGACUUCUUCAAUUUGGCAAGGUCCUUCCCAGUUUGGUCUGAGCACUCCAGUAGUAGGGUCAUAGGUAUUUAAGAAAAACUCGUCGUAGCACUAGGUCACCGACGUUGAAUUUCCUUUCUUUCACUUUUGAGUUAAAAUAACGGGCGACCUUUUGCUGGUACGCAACGACUCGGAGUUGGGCUCUUUCUCAUAUCUCCUCAAUUGAGUCUAGGGACUCCAUCAUCAGUUGGCUAUUCUGGUCCUGGUCAUAUGUAAUGCGUCGAUGUGAGGGGGAAUCUAACUCGACAGGUAACACAGCUUCAUACCCGUAUGCUAAGGAAAAUGGGGUAUGACCUGUCGCUGUUCGAUGAGAAGUUCUACAUGACCAGAGUACUUCAGGCAUUUGUUUUGGCCAUGCUCCUUUAGUGUCUUCAAUUAUUUUCUUCAGGGUGUCCUUAAGCAUUUUAUGCACUGCUUCGACCUGCCCAUUUGCUUGUGGAUGCGCGACUGAAGAAAAGUUUUUAAUGAUCCCGUGCCUUUCGCAGAAAUCUGUAAAUAAGUCACUGUCAAACUGGGUGUCGUUGUCUGAGACAAUUUUGUGAGGCAAACCAUAUCGGCAAACAAUGUUCUUGAUGACAAAGUCAAGAACCUUUUUGGUCGUUAUGGUAGCAAGUGGCUCAGCUUCGGCCCAUUUGGUGAAGUAGUCUACUGCUACGACUGCGUACUUCACUCCGCCUUUUCCCAUUGGCAGGGAUCCAAUCAAAUCUAUACCCCACACUGCGAAAGGCCAAGGACUCUGCAUCUGUUUUAACUCAUUUGGAGCUGUGCACGAGAUUUUGGAAAAUCUCUAACACUUAUCGCAUUUUCACACAAACUCCAUUGAGUCUUCGUUCAUAGUCGGCCAGAAAUAGCCCUGCCUCAGAAUCUUUUUCGCCAAACUUUGCCCCCCAGCGUGAUCCCCGCAGAAGCCUUCAUGUACUUCCCUCAUCAGCUCCUUAGCUUUCUCUGGUGUAAUACAUCUGAGCAGUGGCGUGGAAUAUCCUCUACGGUAUAGAACACCAUCGACUAGUAUAUACCUAGCAGCCUGCCUUUGAAGAGUUCUGGCUUUGUUCCUAUCUGCCGGUAGUACACCAUUUGUAAGAUAUUCCAAGUAAGGCGCCAUCCAUGUGUCUCCCAUCCGGAUUUCUAUACUGGUUUCAUUUGGUCGUAUGCUUGGCUCGCUCAAUCUUUCUACUGGCACAAUAUUCAAAGUGUCAGCAUCUUUCGCGCUUGCGAGUUUGGCUAAGGCAUGUGCGUUAGAAUUCUGAUCCUGAGGUAUUUGCUGGAGGGUAUACUUCUCAAACUGAGCCAAUAAAUCUCUAGUUUUGUUCAAGUAGGCCACCAUUUUGAGGCCUCGUGCUUGAUAUUCCCCUAGAACUUGAUUCACUACCAACUGUGAAUCACUGUAAAUAUCCAGCACCUUUAUACUCAUGUCUUUUGCCAAUCUUAAUCCAGCGAGGAGUGCUUCAUAUUCGGCUUCAUUAUUUGACGCUGUGAAGUCGAACCUAAUGGCGCAGUGAAAUCGAUGCCCUUCUGGCGUUAUCAAAAUCACUCCCGCUCCCGCGUGAGAUUUGUUGGACGAUCCAUCCGUGAAUAACUUCCACAAAGGAGCUUCAUCUUGGGGCUCAGGCGCAUUAGGCUUUUCGCACUGUUCGUUGUCUGGGAGCUCAGUGAACUCCGCAAUAAGAUCAGUCAAGACUUGUCCUUUUACUACUACUCGCGGUGAAUAUGUAAUAUCAAACUGCCCUAGUUCGACUGCCCAUUUUAAUAAAUGCCCAGCCGCCUCUGGUUUUUGGAGGACUUGCCGAAGGGGGUGGUCAGUUAAGACUGUAAUGGGAUGGGCUUGGAAGUAAGGAUGUAGCUUCCUUGAGGCCAAGAUUAAACAAUAAGCUAACCUCUCGAUGGGAGGAUACCUCAGCUCUACUCUGAUUAGCCUUUUGCUUACAUAGUAAACCACCUUUUGUACGCCCUCUUCCUCUCGUACUAGUACCGCACUAGUAGCGACUUCGGUUAUUUCCAGGUAGAUGAACAAAGUUUCUCCUUCAAUAGGCUUUGAUAAGAUAGGAGGCUGUGCCAUAUGGGCCUUUAAGGAUUGGAAAGCCUGCUCGCAGUCUCCUGUCCAUUCAAACUUCUUGUUGCCUCUAAGUAAAUUGAAGAAAGGGACGCAUUUAUCCGCCUUCUUGGAAAUGAAUCUACUUAGGGCGGCAAUUCUUCCAGUUAAAAUUUGUACAUCCUUGAUCCUCUCUGGCGAUUUCAUGUCGAUCAGGGCUUUUAUCUUGUCGGGGUUGGCCUCGAUUCCUCUUAAAUUAACGAUGAACCCCAAAAAUUUCCCUAAUCCAACUCCGAAGGAACAUUUGAGAGGAUUUUUUUUCAUCUGGUACUUGUUCAAUACAUCGAAACACUCUUGCAAAUCCUUCAAAAUGUCCUUUUUUCGACUUUACCAGCAUGUCGUCUACGUACACCUCCAUGUUUACUCCGAUCAACUCCUUAAACAUGUGGCUAACCAAUCGCUGGUAAGUCGCACCUGCGUUUUUCAGUCCGAAGGGCAUCACUUUAUAAUAGUAUAAUCCUGUAUCGGUCUGAAAGCUGGUGUGAUACUCGUUAGGGGGAUGCAUACUAAUCUGAUUGUAACCUGAGUAUGCAUCCAUGAAGGAGAGGAUCUCAUGUCCUGCAGUCGCAUCGACCAGCUGAUCGAUCCUUGGGAGUGGGAAGCAAUCCUUCGGGCAGGCCUUAUUGUGGUCUGUGAAAUCCACACAGGUUCGCCAUUUUCCGUUAGGCUUGGGAACCUACACUGGAUUAGAGACCCACGACGGAUAAAACAGCACCCUGAUGAACCCAUUCUCCUUUAAUCUUUCAACUUCUUCUUUUAAGGCUCUUGACCGAUCCUUAUCGAGCAGCCUUCUUUUCUGUUGCACGGGUGGAAAAGUCUUGUCUAUGUUCAGGACAUGGCUGAUAACUGCAGGAUCUAUCCCAGCCAUGUCUUUGUGCGACCAGGCAAAGACUUCCUGGUUCUUCCACAAAAACUCCACUAGUGCAUGCUUCGUGGUUGGUUCUAAGUUUUUCCCGACCUUCACAACUCUGGUCGGGUCUUUUUCGUCAAGUUGGACCUCUUCCAGGUCCUUGACGGGUCCAACAUUUUCCUCAAAAUCCCCAAAGCGAGGAUCCAAAUCUCUAUCCUCCCUUUGGGAAACACCAUAUUUGGUGACUUCAUCACCAUAUUGGGCUUGUGUAUCAAUAGCCAUCUGCAACCUAUCUGGGGGAGUGCUCUUUGACGUUCCCUUCUUCGCCUUCGUGAUUGAGGCGUUGUAGCACUCCCUGGCCUCCCUCUGAUUUCCCAACACGCGUCCUACCCCUGCGUCUGUCGGGAAUUUCAUGGCUAAGUGCCAUACUGAGGUGACGGCUCGAAGAUCAACCAAUAUAGGCCUUCCAAUGACCGCAUUGUACGCCGAGGGACAAUCGACUACUAUGAAACUAGCGAGUAAUGUCCUGGUAGCAGGCGCUGUACCUGCUGUCGCUGGAAGUCUGAUUGACCCCGCUGGGGCGAGUCCCUCACCAGAGAAGUCGUAUAUUGUUUGAUUGCAGGGCUCCAAGUCCUUAACGGAAAACUUCAUGCGUUCCAACGAAUAUUUAUACAGGAUGUUCACUGAACUUCCUGUGUCAACUAGCACUCUUUUCACCAUCAUAUUGGCCAUUUGGAUAUCUACGACUAGCGAAUCGGAAUGUGGGAACCGGACAUGCUGAGCGUCGCCAUCAGAGAAGGUUAUUUCACCCUCUUCUGACCGAGCCUUUUUCAGUGCGUGGUCCUCCACAAUCAUCAUCUCGAUGUCCUGGUCAUGGCGCAGAGUCCGAGCAUAUCAUUCCCUGACCUUUCCACUGUUUCCGGCGAGGUGCGGGCCUCCACAGAUGGUUAACAAUGUGCCAGUUACGGGAUCAGGCUGCAAAGGUAGCGAGUGUUGGCAUGUGGGCGCUUGCUCGUUGCCACCUGGAGCUUCUCGUUGGGAAUUUCCCGAGGCCCGUAUAUACCUUCUCAAGUGUCCUUGUCUAAUAAGGAACUCGAUCCCAUCCUUCAGCUGGUUGCAUUUAUUGGUAUAAUGUCCGUAGUCGUUAUGAUAACGACAUAACUUGGUAGUGUCUCUUCUCGAAAUAUCCUUUCGAAUAGGGGCAGGUUUCUUAUAAGGCACACUGGAACUCGUGGCCUGAUAAACCUCUCCCCGAGACUCAAUAAGGGCAACAUAAUUAGUGAACCGAGGUUCAUAACGAUUACCCUUGGCUCGUUUAUUGUCAGAGGUGGAAGGCUCAUUGUGCGGCCAUUUCCCCCCAUUCUUGCCAUUGCCAUUGCCGUUCUCGUUGCCUUUGCUGUUGCUGAUGGGCUUUGACCCAUUGGCGGCUUUGGCGGGCUCGGCUGUCCCCUUGUCCUUGCCUGGGGGCUUCCCUUCAUUGGCGAUGGCAUCCUCGAGCUUGAUAUAUCGAUCAGCUCGAUCCAAAAAUUCCUGGGUAGUUCUGACCCCAUGUUUUCUGAGGAUGUCCCAAAGAGGCGUGCGGCGCUUAACCCCUGCAGUUAUGGCUAUCAUCUUGCCUUCGUCUCCCACUGUUUUCGCUCCAGCAGCUGCUCGCAUAAAACGCUAGACGUAGUCCUUCAGUGGUUCUCCAUCUUGCUAGCGUAUUUUGACCAGCUGAUUUGCCUCAGUCGGGUGCACACGACCCGCAUAGAACUGUCCGUAAAACUCCUUCACGAACAUUUCCCAGAAAACUAUACUUGCAGGAGGGAAUUUGAAAAACCACUCCUGUGCGGCAUCAGAAAGUGUUGCAGGGAAGAUCCUGCACCGAGCGUUUUCGGACACUUUCUGAAUGUCCAUUUGUAUCUCAAACUUGUUGACGUGAGAUACCGGGUCACCAUACUUGUCAAAGUUCGGAAGCGUAGGCAUCUUAAACUUGCCAAGAGUUUCUGCCAUAGCUAUCCUUUGGAUGAAAGGAGUGCCUUUUCUCCUAUCGUGGUCGAUAUAAGAUGUUCUUCCCCCGACCAGCUGCUGCACUGCCUGGUUGAGGGCAUCUAUCUGGGCCUGCGCGGCGCCAGGAAUCGCCGGGGCCUCUGGUGCUGGGGGGAACGUACUCGUCGUGCCGCUCCCGGCGAUCGUUGAGUACGUCUCUUAAAUCCUCGUCUCUCCUCCACUACUCACAAGCUCCGAGCCGGUUAAUGAUGUUAUUUUGUCUGGGCCGCCCCCUAGCGUCCCGUCUUUCGGGUUGGUCAUCCCUAGGUGGUAGGCUUCUGCCCCCACCUAUUUCUUCAUUCCUCCGAUUGGCGUUUCCUCUGCCUGAGUCGGCCUCAUUAUAACCAUGGCCAUCUCUGAAUCUUGAUUGGCUAUGAUUGGAUCGACUGUUCCCUCGGUUGCCUUCCCGAGCUGGAACCUCCUGAGCGUUAGAGGGUGGCCUGCGUUGGUCAGUAGGUCCCCGUGCAUUAUCAUGCCGUGGGGGGCCUCGGACCGUAGAGCCUGACUCUGAGUUCCUUCUGUUACCAGGAGGACACUGUCCUCUGCUCGGGGGGUUUGGCUCGUCGCCCCUAUGGCGUCUAGGACUGCGAGGCGCAUGCCUGGCCCUAUUCUGCCUUUGUUGCAGGGGAUUGCCACGACCAGCUUGGGAUGGAGGUUGUGCCUUAGGGUCCCUCAGCGGGACAUCGUCCUGAGGCACCGGUGGCUGCUCGGGCCUUUGGGGGCUUGAAGGAUGCAUAGGCGGACUAGGAUUAGGACCCCUCUGGGGCGGCCCAUUCGUAGGUUGAUCAGGUUGCGAGGCAGGUGCAGCCUGGUUCCUAGCCAGCUGUAGGGCUGCUUCGAGGGCUGCCAUGGCCUCCAUCUGACGGCGGUCCAUCUCCGCCUGCCUCUCACUCAGUUCCAGACGCUGUCGUUCAAUCUCUUGUUGCUGCCACGCCAUAACCUCGGCAACACUUUCCUGGCUGGCCCUUAGAUUGGCCAGUUCAUCCUGCAAUACCCCCAGGGUAUUCCUCAACGUCUCGGAAUCCAUUUCUUCCUCAUCGAAUUCCAAAUGUGGCUCAUCCUCAGUCACGUUUGGAGGAGGAGGAGGCGGGUGAGAUGGUGCAGCGCCAGCUGCCUGUCCAGUUUUCUUGGUAGUUUUCGCCAUUGAUCUUUCAACGAUACUGUAUCAAGCUGUCAAUGAAAGCACCAAAAUGUUGACCCUGAUUUUGGCCAACUGACACGGAGUCAAAUAUGCUUGAUGUGGACAAAUGCGUUGAAAUGAAUGUGAUGACAAAAACAAUAAAGAAUACAAGAGUUUAUAGUGGUUUGGCCCCAGAAUCUGGUAAUAACCUACGUCCACUUGAACUAUUAUUGAUAUAGGAUUCAAAGGAGUGAUCAAAGAACUAGGGUUCGAUGAGUUUCACAAACCUCUGUAGAACAAAAGAAUAUAUUGAAAGUGAUAGUUCAAAUACACUCGUAAAACUCUAAUCUCCAAUAAUUCGAAAGCCAAAAGUCCCUUCCUUGAGCUAUCUUUCUCUAUUUAUAGGCUCAAGGGGGAUUAAAUUUGUUACAGAUAUUCUUUCCUAAAUAAUCAGAUACUCUAGAAAUCAUGGGAGUCAAUCUCGGGAUUGACUAAGAUCUUUAUAAAAAUUAUCGUGAGACACGCGGAAUGUGCGACCAUACUGGUCGCAGGUAAACCUCAACCGCCUUUUGCUUGCAAUAUCAUUACUGGUUGAUACCCUAGCAGAAUUUCGCCAAGUGUCAGCCACGUGUCCAGAAAUCACUUGCCACAUCAUCCGUGCCUGUUUUUUGGAUAACACAAUUCAAGUUAUAUAUAUAAAUACAUAUGGAUGUUCAUGUUCAUGUUUAUCUUAUACGAUACUUAAUUCCAUAUUGUGCAGUUCUUGUGUUCUUUUGACUAUUUAGCCUUUAGUUUGGUUAAGUUUACCAACUAUAUAUUUAAUAGAUAUAUAAAUAUAAUUAAAAAGUACACUCGGAGUUUUGCUGAUUGCCCUGUAUUAAUAAUUUUUUAAAAAAAAAUAUUGCAUAACUAAAUGGUACAAGACUAUGGUCAAACUCUGCUAUCUUUCCAUUACUACAAUUUUACUAAAAACUAAAAAUUCAUAUGGAGAAGACAACAUGGGUGAUUAGUUUAAAGAUCUGCAAAUAUUUGCAUUUACUUAAUUUUAUUUCUGAUGAGGUUUAGAUAAAUUUAAGAUGCAUUACUACACCAAAUACCCAUUUUCAUAACAUAUGAAUAUAAUAGUAAUGAAAAAGUAUUAUGAUAUAUAUAUGUGGCAAAGUAAAAAAAAUGACGGUAUAAUUUUGGGAGCCCGCGCUACGUUAUAACUUGUAAAAGUUAUAUUUUUAUCCUAAUUCUUUUUAUUUACAUUGUUUGACUAAGUCUGAGAACGACUCCUCUUCUCCGUUCAUCUUCGCCUAUAACUUCUGGGAUCGACUUCUCCGUUCAUUCGCCUAUAACUACUGGGAUCGACUUCUGUGUUCAUUCGCAAUCUUCACCAAAAGUUAAUCUUUGUUUGACUCCUCCAUUCAUCUUCGCCUACGGUGUCUCCGAAGUCAGUCCAUUGCUCUGAGUACAACUUCGGCUCUUCGGCGUUUCCAAUCGUUUACAGAGCCGAUACUAGGUGGCUAUAUGAAGCAAUAGCGUGAUAUGCUUGGUUUAAUCCAUAGCAGGCAUAGCUGCAUAUAACAACCACAAGCUAAAAAAAGAAGCUUCUGGACACACUACUAAAGCUGCUGAACCCACCAUUGAUGAUACAGAAAAUGCUGCUGAGUCUGUACCACUGACCACAUACGUGUGUCCCAACAAGUAGAACUACAUUAGGAGCAGUCUUCCAAGUUAAGUAUAGGAUUCAUCAAACCUAUUGUAACAUGCUACAGCAGAGUGUCCAAACUUUCCACAGAUCUGACAAGUGGGUCUCAAACCACCAAACCUUCCUCUUUCUCUAGCACGAUUUCCUCCACCUCUAUUUCCUCCAUUGUUGUCAUAUUUGUUGCUAUUUUGUUGCUCACCAUAACUCUGACCUCUUCCCACAGCUUGGAUAUUUUGUGGCUAUGUUUGCUGUUGGACUUGAUGGUGGUGCUACAACUUUGUUUGCUGCAUUUAUGGCUUGUAGUCGCUCGAGUUUGCAAACAAGGAAAAAUUAUGUAUAUUUUGUAAUGAAGGUUCAGCUAUGAAUUUAUCCUAUUAUUGAAUUUUCAUUGAAUAUUAUGAUUAAAUAACUAUUUGCACACAAAAUAUGUACAUAUGAACUAUUAAAAAAUAUGGAUACAUACUUUGCAAAAGGUUAUUUAGCCAUAAAAUGGCUGCAUAGAGGGAACCUGAGUUUGUGAUAUGCGGUUCCUAAUUGUCCUAUUAACUUUGUUCUUGUUGUUUUGUAUAUUAAAGCCUUAUUAUCUCUCUUUAAAAAUUACAUGAAUACAUUUUUACAUUCUGAUACCA